GUAGGAAACACGGCGCCUGAGCGGCACAAACGCUCAAAAGUUUGGUUACACUUUAUGAGAAAGGAUGACAACAGGGCAACGUGCAAUACUUGCAAAGUAGAGAUUUCAUCAAAGGGAGGAAACACUACGAAUAUGCAAAAGCAUUUGCUCAAAAAACACGCGAUUGCUUUCAACGAAUGUCGUGUUUUUGAUCCGCUCCGGACUAGCGAAGCUCAACCCAGCAGCAGCGGUAGCGUUUCCACGUCCUCUCCCGUUAAUACUGCAGAUAACCAUGAUGAGAGAGACAGAGUCUGGCUGGCUCAGAUGCUGGCAGUUCUCGCUGCAGUCUACCGGUAGCGUCUCCUUUCAGGCCAGGAUAGACGAAUGUCAACCAGCAGUGUCUAAGUUUGUGGUCAAAGGCUUGCACCCAUUUGCCACAGCAGAUGCCCCCGAUUUCACUUUGCCAUGUGUGAAGCUUGUGGUGAUAUAACUGCUGAGCAAUGUCAAGCCUGGAUUCGUCAUGCCAGGAGAUUUUUCCCACGGUGCCUGAACAACGAAGACAUGCAUUGUGAUGUUGAUGAUGGCCCAAUGUUAAUAACCGGCUUGAUUAAUUGUGUAAAAGUGAUAAAAAUAAAAUAAAAAAUAUAUUGUGCUUAUGUAAAUGACUUGUUGUUUUUUCUCCCUUUUUCGUGUGUGUAUAUGUGUAUAUGUGUGUGUAUAUAUGUAUAUAUUAUAUAUAUAUAUAUAUGUAUAUAUUAUAUAUAUAUGUAUGUGUUGUUUUGUUUUUUUUUUG
Long non-coding RNA from Astatotilapia calliptera (eastern happy), 772 nucleotides. Lineage: Eukaryota; Metazoa; Chordata; Actinopteri; Cichliformes; Cichlidae. The record is from Ensembl.